RNAcentral lists this ribosomal RNA (916 nucleotides) under uncultured archaeon. RNAcentral describes it as "SSU rRNA". It matches the Rfam family "Archaeal small subunit ribosomal RNA", at positions 1 to 922 of the family's 1478-position model. The record is from RNAcentral.
UUUCCGGUUGAUCCUGCCGGACCUGACUGCUAUCGGAUUGAUACUAAGCCAUGCGAGUCUUUGUAGUAAUACAAGGCAGACGGCUCAGUAACACGUAGUCAACCUACCCUAUGGACGAGAAUAAUCUCGGGAAACUGAGCAUAAUUCUUGAUAGAUCAUAAUGCCUGGAAUGGUUUAUGGUUAAAAUGAUUCGUCGCCAUAGGAUGGGACUGCGGCCUAUCAGCUUGUUGGUGAGGUAAUGGCCCACCAAGGCGAUUACAGGUACGGGCUCUGAGAGGAGAAGCCCGGAGAUGGGUACUGAGACACGGACCCAGGCCCUAUGGGGCGCAGCAGGCGAGAAAACUUUGCAAUGUGCGAAGGCACGACAAGGUUAAUCCGAGUGAUUUCUGCUAAAGAAAUCUUUUGCCAGUCGUAAAAACGCUGGUGAAUAAGGGGUGGGCAAGUUCUGGUGUCAGCCGCCGCGGUAAAACCAGCACCUCAAGUGGUCAGGAUGAUUAUUGGGCCUAAAGCAUCCGUAGCCGGCUUUGUAAGUUUUCGGUUAAAUCCAUGUGCUCAACGCAUGGGCUGCCGAAAAUACUGCAUAGCUAGGGAGUGGAAGAGGUAGACGGUACUCAGUAGGUAGGGGUAAAAUCCUUUGAUCUAUUGAUGACCACCUGUGGCGAAGGCGGUCUACCAGAACACGUUCGACGGUGAGGGAUGAAAGCUGGGGGAGCAAACCGGAUUAGAUACCCGGGUAGUCCCAGCUGUAAACGAUGCAGACUCGAUGAUGCAUUGGCAUAAUAGCCAUUGCAGUGUCGCAGGGAAGCCGUUAAGUCUGCCGCCUGGGAAGUACGUACGCAAGUAUGAAACUUAAAGGAAUUGGCGGGGGAGCACCACAAGGGGUGAAGCCUGCGGUUCAAUUGGAGUCAACGCCGGG